UGUAUAGCAAUAGCUACUUGCAUCAUUGUACAGAUGAUGCAAGAUCGACUAUGUCGAAUAAAAUUCUAGGUAGAAUUAUGAUAAUGACAUUGUCUGCCUAUGUGUCUUGACCAAAUUACGUGCCAGCAGUCGCGGUAAUACGUAGAAGACUAGUGUUAUUCAUGUUUAAUCGGUUUAAAGGGUACCUAGACGGUAGAUCAAGCUUUUUCAUAUAAAUUAUGAUAAUAAAAGGGACUAAUUUGCUAGAGUUACUUACGAGGGGGUAUUAAAGUACUGCUGGUGUAGAGAUGAAAUUCUGUCAUACCUCUUUUCGAAAGAAAAAUCAUGGCACAGGUAUAGGCGAAGGCAUCCCCUUAUGUGAUAACUGACGUUGAGGGACGAAGGCUUCGUGUAACAAACAGGAUUAGAUACCCUAGUAGUUGGAGCAGAAAAUGAUGAAUGUCAUAGAUUAGAUAUAUAAGUUUAUUCUAUAAAUGAAAGUGUAAGCAUUCCACCUCAUGAGUAAUUUGGCAACAUUGGAAUUGAAAUCAUUAGACCGUUUCUGAAACCAGUAGUGAAGUAUGUUGUUUAAUUUGAUAGUCCGCAAAAAACCUUACCACAAUUUGAAUAUUUAUAUUUUUUUUUAUUGUUUUCUUCUUAAUUUUCUUCUAAUUACAUAUUCAGCAUGUAAAAACAAGAAAGUUAAUAAAAAGACAAUAAUAUAUAUUUACAAGCGUUGCACGGCUGUCUUCAGUUAAUGUCGCGAGACUUUGGUUAGUUCCAUUAAAUUAACGUAAACCCUUACUUUAUUUUUAUAUAGAGUAGUUCCCCGCU
Molecule: ribosomal RNA, 813 nt
Filed under: Punctelia subrudecta
Lineage: Eukaryota; Fungi; Ascomycota; Lecanoromycetes; Lecanorales; Parmeliaceae
Description: SSU rRNA
Rfam family: Bacterial small subunit ribosomal RNA
Source: RNAcentral